CUAUCUUAUAGAUGCAGUUCAAAGAUUCAAAGGCCUGAGAGCGAGUGACUCCUCCACUCAAUCAACAAGAGAACUCGCCUUUAAGAUAUACCGGACUUUUGU
RNAcentral lists this non-coding RNA (102 nucleotides) under Aurantiochytrium limacinum. The record is from RNAcentral. Lineage: Eukaryota; Bigyra; Thraustochytrida; Thraustochytriidae.